This 1222-nucleotide long non-coding RNA is filed under the name Heterocephalus glaber (naked mole-rat). RNAcentral describes it as "lncRNA (ENSHGLG00000046240.1)". The record is from RNAcentral. Lineage: Eukaryota; Metazoa; Chordata; Mammalia; Rodentia; Bathyergidae.
CCCCGAAGUGCAGGACCAGCGCAGACGGAAACAGAAAGCAGCAACUGCAGGCUAAGCGCGCUUUACUGAGCAUAUACAACAGCACACAGGAAGCAAAGAACCCCGUCCAUUCAAAUGAAGGGCUAACUGGGGAAGCGGCUGCCUGAUUUCGCAUCCUGCACCCAUGAUAGGAAAGAAGUUCUCAGGGUGUGUGUGGGCGGCACAGGGAGUGUCGCCUGGGGCUCGGGGUCCCCUUCUGCAAUGGAAGUAACAUCCACGGUAUCACCUGGAACCAACUCUUCCCGGGAUGCACAGCCCUGAGCCGCAAUGUUUUGGUCAACAACGGAACAGACGGAUGACUUUGCAGCCGCCGCAGUUUGUGUAAGGACAGGCCCCGGGUCUGCACCACGAUGAAACUGCCACUCCUCAGAGAGCGUCCUGCUCCUCCAGCACCGCGAGGGCUGACUGAACUGGAGUGGUCGGGGCGCUGCUCACCGGGUGUGCCGUACAGGCUGCUCCAUGCCUUCGUGCCUUUUCUUGGUCCACACAGCAAGCUGCAACCCAGAGCGACUGACGGCAAUGAAAGAAAUGAUCAUGAAACACAUGGGGUCCGCCCAUGUUCACAUCUUUUCUUCUUACACAUGACUUCGCUGGGAGCUCGCGUGCAGCAGAUAUUCCCAAAGCACUGACCGGAAGCUGGCACUCUUAGCUCCUGAGGCCACUUUCCGUUCACACUCCUCAUUUCACAGAACCCGCUCAUGCAGGUGAGAAGCAGAAACAAAACCAGCAGAGCACCACUAAAACCUGCAAGGAGAAUUCUAUGACAUUCCAACUCCCAAGGUGACAUGGUCGAGGGCAUUGUGUUGACUGUCAUCUCUGUCAGGAACGAAGAGCCCUAGCCCAUGUGGCGCUGGCUUGGUCUGUGAUCCUAGCCCAAGCUACAGCAGAAACUCCCUAUAGAAGGAAGCUCUGGCGGGCCGGCGGGCGGCACUGCUCACAGACAUAAGAGGAGGAAGCUGCUAGCAGUGGCCGUCACCUUCAGGAAGACAGGUGACCUGCGGAGCAUUUCACCCCAAAGCUGUCGAAGGUGUCUGUGUGAUUGCACAAAACCCUCACUUGGUCAUUUGUUUAGGUGUUUUAAUAAUGCUGAUGCAAAAAAAGAGUGAAAUUACAGGUGCCAGUUCCCAUUGUAGAAUGCUGAUAAACAACUUACCAUUUUGCAGUGGCUGGUCACAUCUGGAGC